Molecule: long non-coding RNA, 7400 nt
Organism: Aethalodelphis obliquidens (Pacific white-sided dolphin)
Lineage: Eukaryota; Metazoa; Chordata; Mammalia; Artiodactyla; Delphinidae
Exons: 7
Source: RefSeq, a predicted model, not a curated record
GUUCACAAUAGGUAGCCUUGUCUCAGAUGGUCCCAGAUGGCAGCAUCUGCAUUCCAGGAUUCAGGAUAAAGGAAGGGUGAAGAAGAAGAAAUGGCACAUCCUGUACUUCCUCUUAAGCUCCAUGUGCAUCCGUCGCCAAGCUGUAUGCUCCGUCGAAGAGGAUGACCUUCCCCCACAGAGGAGGACUGUUCUUCCGUCAAGGAUUAUGGAGGGAAUGCAUUCUAGACAAUAAAAUCUAAGGGGAAAAAUAUCGCCAUCCUGUUUCAGCACUGCCAUUAAAACCAACGGUGGUGGCCAUUGUUGUGUAAAGGGAAGAAAACAAGUUUACAGUUCCUCAUUUCCCACGGUAAACAGAUUGCUCAUUUUAAUUUUGAAAAUAAAGCGAUGGAGGCUAUGUAGGUCUGUAAAUAAGAAUGUGCAUCUCAAUUUUCUGUAAAUGCUUAAGUGGUUUACAUCUGUUUCCUCCCAGUUGUAUUUCUCAAACAUGAAUUUCCAUUUUAAAAAGAGUCGUAAAAUCACUACUGUUUCUCUGUGGAUCUAUUAGCAAUAAAAUAGCCUACAGAGGUUUGCACAGCCAUGGAAAAUGUACAGUGAUAAUAGGCUGUCCUGCUGUUACAUGGCUUAUGCAAACUUUACAUUUAUCACGGCAGAACCAUCUAUCCGCAGGGUUGUAGCACAGCAAACAAUGGAAUGAAAAAGACCAAGAGAAGGAAGACGAGUCCAAAAUCUCUGUGUACACAUCAUUAAUCAGACAAGAUGAAUUCUCAAACUUGGAAGCAUGUUUCCUCAGAGCCAACUGAGAAAAGGAGCAGGAGGGCGGAGGAUGUGCUGGGUUGGUCGCAAUCUGCAAAGUACAACUUUCCAUAAAAAUCACCUCCAACAAGCAAAAUCACUUGCUUGUCUCAUUGACACGUUGUGGGGUUCACUCACACUUUUGUAUUUUUUUAAAAGAACCAAGCCAGGUCAUUUGUUGAAAACUUUUAGUCCAGCAGAGGAUGCAAUUAUUCUUUCUUUGAGCCUUUCAAGUAAAAGGGCUCAAAAUAGACCAUUGCUUCCUCACGCACCGGUGGGGCCUCCCUAAUCCUCCUCUACUCGCCCUGUCUAGGAAGCAGCUGGGUGACACACAGCGUGUUUAUCCAGCCCCUAAAAUCCUGCAUCGUAAGUCAGACUGAGUGGUCAUAUUCCUCCAACCCCACUUUGCAUCCCAGUGAAAUUCUACCAUGUACAGGGAAGCUCAAAAGAGAGAGAAGUUUGAGAAACAAUUCUUCAGCCUUUAAGAGGGAAGAUGGAAGAGGUACCUUUCAAUUAAAUGCUCUGAUGAGUGAUGAUACUCCACCCUGGAAGUUCGACUACUUCAGGAAUAUACCAAGAUAGAGAUGAAUCUAAGGAGGCCAAGGAGCUGCCCAGGUAACUGCAAAGGCGUGUGGACGGCAUCAGUGCUGCAGACCCUGCUGAGGUUUCUCUGGUCAGGAUGGAGAAAACAGACCCUUUUACCCAGCUGGACCCCACCCUACCCCACAGUCCAGUGGCCACCAGUCCGGUAAAUACCCAGGGCUGAGGACGCGCUGGGGCAAGGCACGUACUCUCAGCUACUUCCUAUGCCCAGGGCCGAGGGAAGAGGUGGAAGGGACAGACCAAGGGGCAGGGCUGCCAUGCUGAGAGCUGGAAGGCGGAGAGCUCAGGUCCUGCGGGUGGACGCAGACCCCAGGAAGAGCCCCCUGGUGUGGGCUGAGUCCACACCCGAAGAGAACUGGCCAGAGCUCCAGGAGUGGCCUCUUCUCAGUCACAGCGACAUGUGUUGAGUUGGACAGGAAGGGCCAGGACCACAAAGAGGCCCCAAGUGGGAACUGACGUUUCCUCAGCCCAGUGUGGUCCGGGGAGGUGAGAUGGAGGUUGGGGAGCGGGGAUGCGGAGCAGGGGAGGUUGGUGCCCACCGGGCCUCUAGCAAUAGCCGGCGGGCAGUCCUGACUUGGAGAGAAGGUGGUCUGCUCUCCUCCACGCUCUCUUGGCAGAACAUUCAUGGGAAUGUCAGUCUGGAAGACAUCUCUGGACUGCGUAACUUCCUUAAUGCUGGCUGUGGUGGAGGCCAGGAGCCAGCCGCCCUCACCCACUCUCUGGAAGGGGACCGUUUUGUCUGCCUGGUGACGUGUCAGCCCUGCGGCCGACCUGUGGCCCUGAAGGAGAGGCUCCAGGGAUGCUGCCCUCAGGUGAGAGCGGAUGCUCCAGAAAAUGUGCCCUCCGUUUGUCUCUAGGAGAAGCAAAAAUCCUUCAAUCAUCUACAAAACGGUGCCUUUUCCUUCUAGAAGAUGGCUGCAUGUAGAGAGGGCAGAAAAAAAAAAAAAAGGACAAAACACCAAGUGCAGAAUAAUGUCACAGUAAGCUGGGCUCCCUCUCCAUUUUUCACAUUGUUUCCUAUUUGCAAUAGCUACUGGGUGCCAGAGAGGAGAGGAACAACUUUAAAAAACAAUUAGCAGGACAUGUGGUGUUCAUUCUUGGCUGGCACUCUGCAGGCCUCAUCUUCCGGCAAAUACUCCGUCUCUCAUGAAAAAUGUUUUAGAGCUAAUGAUCUAUAUUCGCAUUCCCCGUAGAAUGGAUUCAGAAUUUUUCAUCUACGCCGCACCAUGAAAAAUGGAUGUGUUUGGCACAGAAGUCAUUUGAACAUAAAGCCCGGCCUCAGUGGAAAGACAACCUUCAGAACAACUUUUCAAGUAACUUAGUUCAUUCGUACUUGCUUCCACCCGGGAAGGUCAGGUUCGUGUGAAAGAUGGAAAUUUCUCGCACAAACCUGGAUGCUGAUGAGAUUUGUUUUUGCAGAUAAUCUGCAGCAGUGAAAUUUUUCAUAAUGUCACUGCAAAAUAAAUUAAAAUGUUCAUCUUCAUAUGGCUGGUUCCAUUGCAUUAAAAUAAAUGUUGCAAGCUCAUUUAAUUAGUAUAGUUAGGAAUGUCUCUUCCCUGCUUCACUGACUCUCCAAAUCACAAGUUAAUUUGUCAAAAUCAGACCAUUGUUUUUCCUUCAUUCUUCAUUACUAGAGACAGCCCCAUUUAAAUAAAUGUUUAUGCUACAGAGAGCAGAGCAGUGAACAACCCCAAAUAUUUUCACAAGCUAGUGUUGGAAAAGUUUAAAACACAGGGAGUGAGGAUGCAUUUUUUUCCCUCCCUUUGCGGUUAUUGGAUAUUUGACUGGCUGAAAAGGUACAAAAUUGAGCAGUCUGCUGUAACCGAUGAUGCUGCAUCCGCCGUUGCUCAUGUCGGCGGGCUACAUCCCGCCGCAGUUUUCUUCUCUGUUUUCAAAGACAAAUGAUGACAAAAGAUACCAUCUCUAUCAAUUACCCUUAUCAGAUCGUUCUCUUCAAGAAGCCUUGGUUAAUCAAUUAGAUGGUGUUUUUUGGGCGUGGAGGUCUGAACUAGGUGGGGAAGAGGGGGUUCUGGUUUUUAUAGCCGUUUGCUCACCAUUCCUAGCUGCGAGUAGCCACUCUUCCUGCUGAAAAUUCAAGGGAUAACCAAAUUCCAGGGUUUCCUUCUUUCCUCUCUCACUUCCCAACCCUCCCAAACCUCCAAGAAAAUAUUAGAAGUACCAAUGACCAUUGAUAAAGCAUGAGUUCCUGGCUCAUAGAAGUAUGUUGGGGUUAAUGAUGAAGACCAGGGAAAAGGGGUUCACAUAAUUAGCUGAGGUGUUACAUCUGUGGAGGUCUUCUGGAAGGCAUCCAUCAGUAAUGGAUGAAAGCACUUAUCAGAUCAUUAUCAGUGCCCCAUACUAAUGAGACAUCGCAUUCCUGCACCCUAGAGGCUUCUCCACGAGAAAAUGCCGCAGCGCUCAGCUCCAGAUUCAGCCUCAACGGGGGGAAGGCCAACUUUCCUCCCCGAAGCUUUGUCUUUCACCAGCAUGGAGUGACCCGACCUCCUUCCUCCGUAAAGAAGCCAAAAGAUAGGUUAGCCUUUUUCUUCUUACUGGGUAGGGUUUUCUUGUCCUGUGACCCAUUUUCCUACGCUGCUCUUGCUUUGCACGGCUUUUCUCCCCUGGGGCAGAGGAGUUCAAGGAAAUGGAUGUGGUUCUUCAGAUUUCUCGGUAGGUGGUGGGUUGAAAAGGCUUUCAAAGUUGUCCUCAGUAUGGUUCUGAUGAAGUCUAAUCUGAAGAAUGAAACUUUCAUUUUUUUCUUUUCUUUUUUUCUCUUUUAUUUUUUGGUACAAUUCCUCAGGACCAACAUUGCUUCAUUAGUAAAUUAUUUAAUGAACAAGAAGAUUUAAUUACUAUGUAUUAUACAAAUGUGCCUGUUUGACUUUCAAAAAUCAGACUCAGGCAGGCAGGAAGCAGCAGCAUCCCUGGCUUCCCUCCUUGACAGCUGGGAGUUGCCUGAAAGUAGUAGCUGAGCAGGGCACUGCGCCUGCAUUCAUUCAUUCACUCUUUCAUCUCAUAAACCUCUGUUGGUGGCCCUGGACUAGGCACUGGGUGUGCAGAGCCAAUCUCCUUUUCUUACAUGAAAGAAGUGGAGCCUUCUGACUAGACCAGGGCCAAUAUUCCUGUCGCCUACUAUUCAACCCCUGAACCAGGCCACCUUAUCUACAAUGGUCCAAUUUUACUGGAAACAGCAUUUGUGCCUCUGGUUGGCCAUGGAGCAGCCUUUGGGAAACUGGAAAUCAAGCCAUGCACAUAAAAGACAAGUAAAUUGAACGAAGGGGGAAUGCCUGGGGAAUUCAUUAUAAGGCAACUUUUGAACAUAUAGAUGAAAUUUUUAAAUGAAAAUCAAUCCAAAAGCUAAGCAGGUAAGCAAACUGUGGUAUAUCCAUACAACUGGAUGUUAUUCAGCCACAAAAAGGAAUGAAGUAGUAAUACAUGCUACAACGUGGAUGAACCUUGGAAACAUUGUGCUAAAGGUAAGAAGAUACAAAAGAGCACAUCUUGUAUAAUUCCAUUUAUAUUAAAUAUGAAGAAUAGGCAAAUUCAUAGAGAUGGAAUGUAGAUUAGUGGUCUCCAGGGGCUGGGGGAAGGGAGGCAUGGUGAGUGACCACUUAUAGGUACAGUGUAUGUUUGGGGGUCGUGUUUCGGGUGAUGAAAAUGUUCUGGAAUUAGAGAGUGGUAAUGGUUGCUUGACCUUAUGAAUACUAAAACCCACUGAAUCGUACACUUUAAAAUGGUGAAUCUCAUGCAAAUUAUAUCUCAAUAAAAUAUAUAGAAGGCAAUUUUCAAACAUACAGAUUGAAAUUCUGAAAUCAUAAAAUUUUUUUCACUGAGAAAUUCUCAGUACCAUUUUAUGAUACAUCUAAUGAAUGAGUACCAAAAACCAUACACGUGAAGAUGAAAAGUUAUAAAGAUCAAAAUGGGGGAAUGGGCUUCCAUUUUUGUGAGAAUUAAAUCAGGACCUAAAGCAAACCUUUCACACAGGGCUUCGGAGGGAUCAGGACAUGACCACUUGUGUCUCUACUUCUAAUUCCAAAACAGAAUCAUUCAGGCCUGGGUUACCCACAUCACUGGAUAUUUUAUGAACUCCUGUUUUUCUUAACCUGCUUGACAACAAAAACGCUUUUGCUUACCUCUCUGAUAAGCAGCCCUUUCUCUGAUCCCUGUUGAUAGAAAUUAGACAGUAAUCUGUUCAAAUCAGCGUUUACAGGCAAGAUGAGUUUUCCAGAAGAGAGAAGGAAAGGACUCAAAGCGGCCAAUCAAAGGGCUCUGUGGAGGAAACCCAGGUAGAACCCCAGUAAUAAAUACAUUUAUUGCCUGGACAGUAAAAAGUACUGGAGAGUUUAAAAUAAAUUCUGAGUUAUUUAAACUUAAUUUAUGACCAGGAAAAUAAACCCUCUCUUCCACCAUUAAUGUUUUUUAUCUGGGCCAUCAAAUGUCACACGCUACUGAUUUUGGUUGUAAGGUCACUGGAAACAGCAUAUCAGAGGUGUCAGCACCACAAAUCAAGUGAAAUUCCUUUAAAAAUAAAAAUGUCAAGAGUAAAGUAAUAGGCAAUAGUUACUUCGUGCUAUGAAAGACUUCUAAUAUAUCAAAAGGUUCACCUUUUUCUACCUUAAUGGUGUAUCACUUUGAGCACUAAAUAUACUUCUGCUUAACAGAUAAAGUAAAGAAAACAGGCAUCAGGAUGCCGAUGAUAAUAAGAAUGAUGACAUAUAAUAAAACUAUUUGCAGGCACAGAAACAUUAGAAGGCAGAAGCCUGGAUAUAUCAAAAGACAAACAAUGACCCUGAAUAUAGGGAGAUCUGCUCUCUAGCAUGUCAGUUAUUUUAAGUUUAAAGGUCAACUAAAACAGUGUCUUUGAAAUCAGAAUACAAAUUAUAUUGGGUUUGGGUAAGAAAAAAAUGAACAUCUUAGAGCUAAUGUGAUUCUACACAGAGGUCUAAACCCUGAAGCAAUCCUCUGGUCUUUUACCUAAGGACUGAAUAAAACAGAAGCAAGUGCCCAUGUGCUGGGAGGAGAUGAAAGGUAAAGGAGACUUGGAGCAGACGGAUUCUUCACGAUCCUGAUGUUAAACAACUGACAGGCAGUGGCAUUUGCCAUACUGUGUCGUUGCUAAAUGCGUGAACUCCUGGCAGGGUAAAUUCAGCCAGGAUUAUUCUUUAUGCCAAAGCAUCUGACUGAAAGGGUUAUCAAAGCCCCAGAUAACAAGAAAUGACUUUGUUUCAUCCUUGUGACAUAUCUUACAGCGAUUUUCUAGGACGUUAAAGGUAAAACCUUGCUUCCUGAUUCAAAGACUCAUAAUCCAGUGGAUGAAACGGCUCCAGGGAAGGAUAAAGGAGGAUGGAGCCAUUCACACAGAAGCACAAAUUUCCCCCAAGAUGGUAGUGAACAGUUAGAGAAAAGCCAUAAUUCUCUAGUUUAAGCCUCCCAAAGUUCUUUUAUCAUUGGGAGUAGUGGGGAGGGGAAGAGGAGGUCAUGUUUGCCCAUCAGCAGGUACCAUGGGGUGGGAGAUGGGCCAGUGUCAUCACUGGAGUCCCAGUACAGGUGCUCUGCAUUUCAGAAAAGUCAAGUGUGGCUGACUCCAGAAUGGAGUAUCCCUCUUGGCUCUGGUGGCUAUAGAAUUUUAGUGAUGAAAUUGAACGCCAAAGACUUGAACUUCUAUCUCCUUUCAUGUGACAGAUGAGGAUACUGAGGCUCAACUCCAAGAGGGAAAUGCUUGAGGACACAGCCAAGAUGAGAGCCUCCACUGUGGCCCCUGGCUCCGGCCAGGCCACUGAUGUGACUGUCACACACAAGCCCCACUUGUGUGAAGCAGCUGUUCCAACUGGGAGGCAGGCUCCCUGGAAUGAUCUCCAGUCCUUGAUUUGAUGUGUAUGUGAUGAUAGCAUUCAAGUUCACUCAAAAGUAAUUGCUGGGACUUCCCUGGUGGCGCAGUGGUUAAGAAUCCUCCUGUCAAUGCAGGGUACAUGGGUUUGAGCCCUGGUCCAGGAAGAUCCCACAUG